GCGCACGUGGCGGAAUUGGUAGACGCGCCAGCUUGAGGGGCUGGUGGGAGCAAUCCCGUGGAAGUUCGAGUCUUCUCGUGCGCA
RNAcentral lists this transfer RNA (84 nucleotides) under Flavobacteriaceae bacterium. RNAcentral's name for it is "tRNA-Leu". It matches the Rfam family "tRNA". Rfam says of the family: Transfer RNA (tRNA) molecules are approximately 80 nucleotides in length. Their secondary structure includes four short double-helical elements and three loops (D, anti-codon, and T loops). Further hydrogen bonds mediate the characteristic L-shaped molecular structure. tRNAs have two regions of fundamental functional importance: the anti-codon, which is responsible for specific mRNA codon recognition, and the 3' end, to which the tRNAs corresponding amino acid is attached (by aminoacyl-tRNA synthetases). tRNAs cope with the degeneracy of the genetic code in two manners: having more than one tRNA (with a specific anti-codon) for a particular amino acid; and 'wobble' base-pairing, i.e. permitting non-standard base-pairing at the 3rd anti-codon position. Lineage: Bacteria; Pseudomonadati; Bacteroidota; Flavobacteriia; Flavobacteriales; Flavobacteriaceae. The record is from RNAcentral.